This is a non-coding RNA of Podarcis lilfordi (Lilford's wall lizard), 5935 nucleotides long. The record is from the annotation of a GenBank genome assembly. Lineage: Eukaryota; Metazoa; Chordata; Lepidosauria; Squamata; Lacertidae.
GGAAAUGAUCAAGGGCAUGGAGCAGUUCUUGCAUGAGGAAGUUGCAACAUUUGAGGUUUUGUGUUGGAAUCCUGGCAGCCAAGACCCAAGUCUGGGACAAGUGCUCUUUGGUGAGCGAGCCCCAGCAGAGGGGUUAUUGUCACCUUCCCUAUCAGAAGCAAGGAGCAGGUAGUAAUAUAUCCUUAACUAUUGUCAAGGAAGAUAGAUGUUCAAGAGAUCUAGGGCGUUGACUGCAUUAUAUUAUUUGCUGGUUUUAAACAUUUCUAGGCUUCCUUUCCAAAACACUCAAAUCAGUUCAUAAAAUAUGUAAUCCAAUUCUAAUGGCCUUAAAACAAACUCAUAGAAGUUAAUAACCUGUAAAAAAAGUAUCUACUAGCCUGCUGGGGUUGGCAGGUAAGGGAUGCAAAGGCAAGAACUUCCUUCCUCUAGCAGCUCACCUGGUUUCUUCAUUUAGGUGAGGGGAGAGACACUCACUUGCAUGCAAUUUCUUUUCACCAGUGACUAUCGUGGGUGUGCUUAAAUACAAGGCUGAAUUACAACAAACCCAAAGUAAAAUCACAGAAAUAACAUGAGGUCCUAGAUUGAUGUGAGAUGCCACUGAUUUUUGCCAUCUGCUAAAUAAGUGACAAACCUGUUAAACCAGAGAAUUUGGAUCAUACCAAUUUAGCACUACAGGCAUCCUUUGCUUACCACACUAACUGUACUUUCCUUGCUGUUAUUGAAUAGUCGGAAAUGUUCCCCCUUCAGAGUAACAAACUAAGAAACCCAAAUAUUGCUAACCUAAAAAAAAAGAAAAAGGAAGAGGCAGCAGGGAGAAAAAGUGUUCUAAACAAACAAAAUGUUGAUCUGCCUUUUAUUAAUUUCAUUUUUUAUCUUCUUGUAUACAGACGUUUGACAGCUAUGACAUUCAUGGGCAAUGCAUUUGAAAAAGAAGACAUAAAUAUUCAGAGACAUAUUAGAAUGCUGUUCAAUGUAAGCACCUGUCUACUUAGUGUUGACAGAAAAUCAUUUACUUUGCUUUAUGCAUGUUCUCUCUGGAGACCACUGAGGUCCUAUUUUAUUUAAAGAGCUGGUCCCAACAUCGCUGCUUCCACUCGAAAAUGCAAUAUAUGCAGCUAAUUAUAUUUAUCGAGGAAACAAUUUUGGUUUAUAUUUUCAAUAAUCCUUAAACAAUUUUGUCAAUUCCUUACCUCAGGAUUGGCUUCUCCCUGGGUAUCAGAAGGCACGUGACCUCAUGGUGUCUUUAUUUAUGACAUCACAAAAGAGGCAAUGAAGUCUAUGAUAUCAUAAACGUAGCAGAACCAGCAACGAUGCAUCACUGUAGGCAGCAGCAUUUACUUACAGAGCAAUCUUGUACUCCAUGUGUGUAACUCCGAGUUCAGUGGGGCUUACUUGCAGGGAAGACUGGAUAAGGUUACAGCCUCACUCACAGAAUCACUUUAUUUAUAUUGUUUAUCAAAUGUUACUGCCACUUGCAUUAAGUACACAGGGUUUCUCGUCCUAAAACCAAGAAGUAAAAGAGACAAAAGGUUUCUUUUUCAAGAAUUGGAGACAUUUGUAAUCUAUUUCUUCGAUCAGAUUUCGGUUUGAGAAUGCAAACGCUAUAAAUUUACUGAACUCUACUUUACUCUAGUUCAGUAAAUUGGCUAAAUUUUACAAGUUGCUGCACAAGCAAAUCAGCAUGUAGGUUUAAACCAGUGGUUCCCUAACUCCUUCCCCCUCCUCAGACCACUUGAAAAUGCUGAGGGUCCUGGUAGACCACUUCAUUCCCCCCCCCCCCCGCCAGUUGGGACCAAUGCACUGUGCUAGGUGCUGUAUGAUUUUUAAAUUAUAUUUUGACAGAAAUGCUGAAUGAACUUUGUGGAGCUCUGGUGGUAGGACCACAGCUUGGGAACACCUGGAUUAAACACAAAGAUUGCUGCACCAGUAUGUGUUACAACUUGGGGCAUCAGAAACUGACCCGGAGCAUUGAACCUGUGCAAAAGCACAAAUUAAGUGUGCAUACCCUCCAACAUUUCUCUGAUGAAAAUAGGGACAUCCCAUUCCAUAAUGAUAAUUUUACUAUUUAUACCCCACACAUCUGACUAGGUUGCCCCAGCCACUCUGGUCAGCUUCCAACAUGUAUAAAAACUUAAUAAAACAUUAAACAUUAAAAAGAAACCUUCCCUAUAUAGGAUUGCCUUCAGACAGCUCAGGGGUUGGAUAACGCCAUACCCUCCAACAUUUCUCUAGUGAAAAUAGGGACAUUCUAAGGAAAUGAGGGGCAUUCCAGGAUCAAAUCAGAAUCCAGGAUGCCUUCUCUACAUCAGGGACAUCCCUGGAAAAUAGGGGCACUUGGAGGGUCUGAGUGUGUUUCCAGAUAUUGUGCACAUUAUUUGUGCUUAUUAAUAUUGCAAAGGGUCAUUCAGAUAUAGUUGGCAACAGUUAUUUAUUUAUUUAUUCAUUUAUCCAUUUAUCCAUCAGAUCUUUCCUGAUGAGGACAAAUCCAAAUAAAACUGAGGAUGGGGGAAUAUGGACUAGUGUUUUGGUGCCAAUGAUGUUGCAUGGGCACUGCAGAGAGAGAGAGAGAGAGACCCCAGACCUUGCACACAGGAGAGGCAACUGUCUCAUAUUAAACACCCAUCUAGUAGCGCCCUAAGCCCGCCAAUCCUGCAACAGCACCUGUUGUCAGAUGCACAAUAGCAGCAGUGCCUGAUUAUUAUAUGUGGUAUAAAACCUGAUUGAAGUGGUUGGUGGACAGGACUGGAGAAAACCCACGAUUCACUCUAAAGGCCCUAUUCAUGUCUACUCGGAAUUAAACUCCAUUGGUUCAACGGGACUUUCAUGUACGUGUGCAUAGCUUUGGUGCAUAACUCUGGUAUGCCAGCAUAACAGAAAUACAGCAUAAAACAGUAAUAUGAAAGUGCAAAUUAAAAACUAAUAAUAAAAGAAACUGCAAGAAAGAAUGGCUUCUCAGUUAAAAUUACAUUUAAAAUUCUUGUUUUCCUGAAAAUUAAAAAGGAACAGAACAGGCAAGCUAUACUAAGAAGGGAGUUUUACAUUGGGGGACCCAUGCCUGAAAAUGUCCUAUAUCUCUCCACCUACUUAUAGUCACCAAUAUCAGACCCAAAUGUUCCCCAUUUUACAGGCACAGUCCCAGAUUUACAGAAGGCAUCCUGCUUCCUGAUUUGAUUCCAGAAUGUCUCGCUUUUCCUUUGAACAUCCCUAUUUUCAUCAGACAAAUGUUGGAGGGUAUGAAAUAUAACUUCAGAUCAGGGGUGGGGCAAGUCAAGCAUAAAAUGGCCAGUCAAGUUUUUCUGAAACCUAAGGCACAAAAUCUCCACCAUAACAGUAAAAUAAAGGUAAAGGUAAAGGACCCCUGACAGUUAAGUCCAGUCAUGAACGACUCUGGGGUUGCAGCGCUCAUCUCAUUUUACUGGCUGAGGGAGCCAAUGUUUGUCCACAGACAGUUUUUCCGGGUCAUGUGGCCAGCAUGACUAAGCCGCUUCUGGCAAAACCAGAGCAGCACACGAAACACCGUUUACCUUCCCGCUGGAGCGGUAUCUAUUUAUCUACUUGCACUUUGACAUGCUUUCAAACUGCUAGGUUGGCAGGAGCUGGGACUGAACAAUGGGAGCUCACCCCGUCACGGGGAAUCGAACCGCCGACUUUCCGAUCAGCAAGCCCAAGGCUCAGUGGUUUACACCACAGCACCACCCACGUCCGAACAGUAAAAUACAACAACAAUAAUAACCAACAGUUUGCUGCCCUUUUGAGACACUCAAAACCAGCCGCCUGAAGCAGCUGCCUCACUCUGGCUAACAGUUGGGCCAGCCCUGGCUGGAGAAUUCUUGGCCAUCAAUAUAUUAUUGGACUGCAGCUCCCAUCAGCCCCAAUCAAAAUGUUCAGGAAUGAUGGGAGCUGUAGUCCAGCAAUGUCUGGAGAUUCAUUGCUUCCACACCCCUGCUAUGGACAAAGAUGGUAUCUGGAGUAAGGCCUCAUCUGAUGAUCUGGUGAUUAAAUUCAUAGAAUCAUAGAACUGUAGAGUUGGAAAGGACAAGGGUCAUCUAGCUCAACUCCUUGCAAUACAGGAAUCUUUUGCCCAAUGUGAGGGUCGAACCCAUAACCCUAAAAUUAAAUGUUGCCAGCAGUCUUGUCCCAGUGGCUACUCUUGGGACAUCGCCUUCGAUAUACUGACACGAACAAACCCACUCUCUGUUGACACCAUUUCUGCUAUAGGAAAAGGCACAAGGAGCCAAACCACAGCUAGAUGCAGAAAUGACUGUCCACAGCAAAAUCUGGACUAAGCAGCACGUGGAAGCAAUGUGCCCUGACCUGCUUUAAGCAAAAAUUAUAAUUAAUUCAGAUUGUGCAUACAGUACAUGCUUAGUAAAUGAGAUUAAUUCUGCGGCGUGUACUCAUGCUUGCUUUCUGAAAGCAAGCUUCUGGCUGCACUGUUCUGAAAGGAACUGCAUGACCCCCAAAGUGUAAAUUUGAUACCACACCUUGUCGUCUUUGUGAAGAGCCCUGGUUUCCACCGGAUUAACACCGAGGCCAGAAAGAACUCCUUAAUGCCAGAAUCACACAGGUCAGAAUAGCAAACAUAUCAGAUUAUCAAAAAUAUAAUCAGAAGCAAGCUAAAGAGAACAGAAACUAAUUUGAAGUGAGCACGAGUGUUAUGAUAUUUUAAUACAUUUUAUGUUACCUGACAGACAUGUAAUGAUGUUAACUAAGACCUGAUGAUGUAGCAAUUGGGGGGAAGCAGGAAGGAGAGGCUUGGAAAGCAGAGGAAAAUCAUUAGUUUUCAAACUGCAAAACCUUACAAUGCUGCCACCUGUAGGGAAAAUGCUGCAAGGACAGCGAUGUAUAUUUCGGUCGUGCAUCCUUCAUUGACACACAAAAGCACAGAACGGCAUUGACUUCACAGAUACAGUACAGGUGCUUGCUUGUAAACAGUUAAUUCAUCAGGUGAACCAAGAGAAGUGCCUGUUUUGGUCUUGUGUCUUUGACUUUCAUCUAUAAUUUAAUUAGGAUCAUGAAAUAGCAGUCCAUAGAAAUUAUGAGCUGUAUGAUUCCAGAUCACGCAUCGAUCUUUUUGUCCAAUUAAGCAGAUUCUUUCUAUAGAAAAUUGCCCCCAUCACUGAUGCAAUCUCUCCCUUUCUUUCCCUCCCUCUUCUCUCCCCAGAGAACAUAAUUGGCAUUGGUGCAUAAGAUGCCUAGUCUCAUGAAGAUGAUUUAAGAUACACAAACUUUUGUGCUUCAGAUGAUUGUGGCUGGGAAAGUGGAUGUUACUGCAUGUAGAAGAGGGAGCAAACCUUUCUUCCCAUGUGGAGAUCCUCCUUUCAGAAAGCCCCAAUCUGCCUGGGCAGGAGCCAGUGCUGCUGCAACCCAGUCAGGCCAGCAAAGAGGAAGGGAAGGCAGGGAGCAGAUUCUACCACUAAGGCAUCAAGAACUUAAAUAGCCAAAAGGCAGUAAGCAGGGGAAGGAAGGAAACUGGGCUGCUGGAGAAGAAAAGAGGGGAACAGAGGCUGCAGGGAACCCCUCCUCUCUUGGAUCCUAUAGUGAAUGUCACCAGAGAGAAACUAGGCACUGAUGGGCAAGGUAAACUUUCUGAGAAGGAACAUAGCUAUUGCUCUAAUAGCUCGUGGGACAUUGGGACUGUACUGCCUAAGGAAGGGAGGGCAAGAUUGGCAGCCUGAGCCUCUACCUACAGCUAAAGCUCAAUAAAUCUGGAAUUUCCACAUUUCACCUGCCCUGUCUCCAACUGGGGCUCACCGUUGAGUGCAUUCUCCGUGGAAGCCAUGGAUCAUGGGGCAUUCAAUGUGCCACUCCCCCAGGGCAGCUUCACACACAGCCUCCCGCCAUGUGUUUGUAGUAGGCAUUUCAAAAAAGAGACGACAAGAGAAUUGUCCUGCCCAGUCCCAGCUUUGAAGCCAUUUCUGCCUUAAUGAAAGAG